Rattus norvegicus (Norway rat) is the source of this 73-nucleotide non-coding RNA. The record is from Rfam. Lineage: Eukaryota; Metazoa; Chordata; Mammalia; Rodentia; Muridae.
GUAGAGAUGGCUCAGCGAUUAAGAGCACUGACUGCUCUUCCAGAGGUCCUGAGUUCAAUUCCCAGCCACCACA